ACGAACGCUGGCGGCGUGCUUAACACAUGCAAGUCGAACGGAAAGGCCCUUUCGGGGGUACUCGAGUGGCGAACGGGUGAGUAACACGUGGGUGAUCUGCCCUGCACUCUGGGAUAAGCCUGGGAAACUGGGUCUAAUACCGGAUAGGACCAUGGGAUGCAUGUUCUGUGGUGGAAAGCUUUUGCGGUGUGGGAUGGGCCCGCGGCCUAUCAGCUUGUUGGUGGGGUGAUGGCCUACCAAGGCGACGACGGGUAGCCGGCCUGAGAGGGUGUCCGGCCACACUGGGACUGAGAUACGGCCCAGACUCCUACGGGAGGCAGCAGUGGGGAAUAUUGCACAAUGGGCGCAAGCCUGAUGCAGCGACGCCGCGUGGGGGAUGACGGCCUUCGGGUUGUAAACCUCUUUCAGUAUCGGUGAAGCUCCCGGAUUUUUCUGGGGGUGACGGUAGGUGCAGAAGAAGCACCGGCCAACUACG
RNAcentral lists this ribosomal RNA (475 nucleotides) under Mycobacterium sp. RNAcentral's name for it is "bacterial SSU rRNA". It matches the Rfam family "Bacterial small subunit ribosomal RNA", at positions 29 to 505 of the family's 1533-position model. The record is from RNAcentral. Lineage: Bacteria; Bacillati; Actinomycetota; Actinomycetes; Mycobacteriales; Mycobacteriaceae.